Molecule: ribosomal RNA, 614 nt
Filed under: marine bacterium SIMO-1593
Lineage: Bacteria; Pseudomonadati; Pseudomonadota; Gammaproteobacteria
Description: partial 16S ribosomal RNA
Rfam family: Bacterial small subunit ribosomal RNA (bases 107-614)
Source: RNAcentral
CACNCAAUGCCGAGUUANGGGNACGCGUUAGUCCACCAAGAGGUGAGGCNUCUGUCUUCCUUUUGACGCUUGCACNNAGNUGAGUCGCGAANGCGAGCUGNAGCUNNUGCNCAUGAGCUGUAUCAUGGCCCCGAAUNGUAGNGCGGCGUAUAACCACCUGUGUAAACGCGNUGUGCCNUAAGUACACGUCAUAACGUCNUUANGUACCAAAGUAGGGGGANCUUCGGGCCUCUCACUAUCGGAUGAACCCAGAUGGGAUUAGCUAGNAGGCGGGGNAAUGGCCCACCUAGGNGACGAUCCCUAGCUGNUCUGAGAGGAUGACCAGCCACACUGGAACUGAGACANGNUCNACANUNNUACGGGAGGCAGCAGUGGGGAAUAUUGCACAAUGGGCGCAAGCCUGAUGCAGCCAUGCCGCGUGUAUGAAGAAGGCCUUCGGGUUGUAAAGUACUUUCAGCGGGGAGGAAGGCGAUGCGGUUAAUAACCGCGUCGAUUGACGUUACCCGCAGAAGAAGCACCGGCUAACUCCGUGCCAGCAGCCGCGGUAAUACGGAGGGUGCAAGCGUUAAUCGGAAUUACUGGGCGUAAAGCGCACNCAGGCGGUCUGUUAAGUC